This 409-nucleotide ribosomal RNA is filed under the name bacterium. RNAcentral's name for it is "partial 16S ribosomal RNA". It matches the Rfam family "Bacterial small subunit ribosomal RNA", at positions 355 to 776 of the family's 1533-position model. The record is from RNAcentral.
UGGGGAAUAUUGCACAAUGGGCGAAAGCCUGAUGCAGCGACGCCGCGUGAGGGAUGACGGCCUUCGGGUUGUAAACCUCUUUCAGUAGGGACGAAGCGCAAGUGACGGUACCUGCAGAAGAAGCACCGGCUAACUACGUGCCAGCAGCCGCGGUAAUACGUAGGGUGCGAGCGUUGUCCGGAAUUACUGGGCGUAAAGAGCUCGUAGGCGGUUUGUCACGUCGUCUGUGAAAUCCUAGGGCUUAACCCUGGACGUGCAGGCGAUACGGGCUGACUUGAGUACUACAGGGGAGACUGGAAUUGCUGGUGUAGCGGUGGAAUGCACAGAUAUCAGGAAGAACACCGAUGGCGAAGGCAGGUCUCUGGGUAGUAACUGACGCUGAGGAGCGAAAGCAUGGGUAGCGAACAGG